AAUUGCCCCGUAUCAGGAAGCGUUGGGUGAGCGGCGAGGAUGGUACCGCGGGAUGGGGCCUAAACCUUCUUCCAACACGUCCUCGCACUCGUCAUCUAACAUGUCGUCUUCGCAAGCUCGGACGCAAGAACCCUUUUCCGAGGAUUUUGUUAACAGCUUGUUCCAAACCCCGUCAUUUUUGAACCAACUUAACAACUAUCUUGCUUCACAAGGAAAAG
This is a long non-coding RNA of Helianthus annuus (common sunflower), 218 nucleotides long. RefSeq lists it as uncharacterized. NCBI's taxonomy places the organism in Eukaryota, Viridiplantae, Streptophyta, Magnoliopsida, Asterales, Asteraceae. The record is from RefSeq and is a predicted model, not a curated record. The transcript is spliced from 2 exons.